GAUGAAGAACGCAGCGAAAUGCGAUAAGUAAUGUGAAUUGCAGAAUUCAGUGAAUCAUCGAAUCUUUGAACGCACAUUGCGCCCCCUGGUAUUCCGGGGGGCAUGCCUGAUCGAGCGUCAUUUCACCACUCAAGCCUCGCUUGGUAUUGGGCAACGCGGUCCGCCGCGUGCCUCAAAUCGACCGGCUGGGUCUUCUGUCCCCUAAGCGUUGUGGAAACUAUUCGCUAAAGGGUGUUCGGGAGGCUACGCCGUAAAACAACCCCAUUUCUAAGGUUGACCUCGGAUCAGGUAGGGAUACCCGCUGAACUUAAGCAUAUCAAUAAGCGGAGGA
This 331-nucleotide unclassified non-coding RNA is filed under the name soil metagenome. Its description in RNAcentral is "partial contains 5.8S ribosomal RNA, internal transcribed spacer 2, and large subunit ribosomal RNA". The stretch from base 1 to 120 matches the Rfam family "5.8S ribosomal RNA", at positions 35 to 154 of the family's 154-position model. The record is from RNAcentral.